RNAcentral lists this ribosomal RNA (331 nucleotides) under uncultured bacterium. RNAcentral describes it as "bacterial SSU rRNA". It matches the Rfam family "Bacterial small subunit ribosomal RNA", at positions 568 to 898 of the family's 1533-position model. The record is from RNAcentral.
CGCGUAGGCGGUUGUGUAAGUUGGAGGUGAAAUCCCCGGGCUCAACCUGGGCACUGCCUUCAAAACUGCACGGCUAGAGUAUGGGAGAGGAAGGUAGAAUUCCAGGUGUAGCGGUGAAAUGCGUAGAGAUCUGGAGGAAUACCGAUGGCGAAGGCAGCCUUCUGGCCUAAUACUGACGCUGAGGUGCGAAAGCAUGGGGAGCAAACAGGAUUAGAUACCCUGGUAGUCCAUGCCGUAAACGAUGUCGACUAGGUGUUGGGGAACUUGAUUCCUUAGUGCCGCAGCUAACGCAUUAAGUCGACCGCCUGGGGAGUACGACCGCAAGGUUAAA